GCAGUAGGACAAAUGAUAACCGCUUCUGCUGGACUUGCUGGGGCAGUGUUUGGUCUUAUAGCAGAACAUGCAGGAGAUUCAACAGCAUGGGUUCUUCCAUUUACGUCAGGGGGAUUUAUCUAC
This is a long non-coding RNA of Orbicella faveolata, 123 nucleotides long. Lineage: Eukaryota; Metazoa; Cnidaria; Anthozoa; Scleractinia; Merulinidae. The record is from RefSeq and is a predicted model, not a curated record.